Molecule: unclassified non-coding RNA, 250 nt
Filed under: plant metagenome
Description: partial contains small subunit ribosomal RNA, internal transcribed spacer 1, and 5.8S ribosomal RNA
Source: RNAcentral
GUAGGUGAACCUGCGGAAGGAUCAUUAUCACGUAUCCACGUAUAAACCAUUGUGAACCGUUCAUUAACCUUUGUUCUCGGAUAAGACAGUGUGAAUUAAACGUUUACAAACAGCACUAGUAAUUGAGCUGUUGUUUAGUUCGCCGCAAACGAUGUAUUCUCCCCGGAGUUUCUCGAUUGCUCUUGCUGAGAAUCAAAGUGUAAUCAAUUACUACUUAUUAACCAUUUUAACCAAUCUUUAUAACUUUUUG